CUGCCUCCUUCAGAUGAGAAUGAGUUUCAUGGUGAGGAGGAUGGAGAUGUCCGGGGUCUGUCCAAUCCCCGGAUCCGACAGCCACGCCCUUUACAGCGUCAGUCUGUCCACCAUCGCCUCGGAUCACAUCAGGGAGUGGGCAGAGAACGGUCUGUGGCUGUGCAUGGAAAUAUGAUGGUGGCGUCGGUCCUAGCUCUGGAGGAUGGUGCUGCUGUCUGUGUUGGUGAUGGGCUGCUGACCUCACCUAGACCUUCCUCGCCUCAGCACAGAAGUUCGGCUGAGCCGCUGGAGAAGGCUAGGUUGAGCUCGCCCCUUCCUGCCACUCAAGUGCCAUGCAUGACAACCUUGAAGAAUAUCUUAGCUGGGCCGUCUGGGUCGGCUGCUGUGGGGUCGCUGGAUUCUGUCCUCCCUGUUUCGCCCCAGCGACACAGGACUGUUGCUGGGUCGCUGGAACAGGCUGGUGCGAAUUCGCCCCUUCCUGGUGGUUCAUCUAAUGCUGUGGCCCCCCUGAGAGUCUACUCGAGAAGCAGAUUCAGAAGCAAACACGCCCCAAUUCAGGAAGGACAGUUGAUGCAGGUCGUGGAGGUCAACAUUACAGAGAGGCCUUGUCUGAAUCAUUCGGAGUCCUUGGAUAACUCUUUGUCUGGGUGCACUGCUGUUGUCCCUGCCCUCGGUUUUGCUGCUGAAUCCCAACCGCAUGAAACAGCAAGCUUUGAAGCUAGAAAACAAGAGUUCUUCAAAGGAAUCUCCAAGUUUUCUUCUGGGAUUCUUCCUGUUCCGCGAGCUGAACCGCACGUUGAUCCUCCACCUUCCCCACCUGCUGCUCCCAUGCCAAGAAGAAGUCGCCGUGUUGCGGGAGUUGGAGUGGAAUUUAAUAUCCAUGACCUGGGAGGAAGAACUACCAGGAAAGUCAUGAGAUCAUUGCAUAUUAUUUCCGAGAAUGAGGGAAUUUGUCAGGAAGCCUUGGAUGAAUAUACUCAGCUUUUCAAGCGCCCCCUGACCCAUAGUGAGGUGGAGGCUCUUGCUGCCCUGUUUGGGUGGAGAGCCCCUGAGUUAGUGAAAGUAGCCUAG
RNAcentral lists this unclassified non-coding RNA (1071 nucleotides) under Zea mays. RNAcentral describes it as "misc RNA Zm00001eb293850". The record is from RNAcentral. Lineage: Eukaryota; Viridiplantae; Streptophyta; Magnoliopsida; Poales; Poaceae.